AGUGAACGCUGGCGGUAGGCCUAACACAUGCAAGUCGAACGGCAGCACAGUAAGAGCUUGCUCUUACGGGUGGCGAGUGGCGGACGGGUGAGGAAUACAUCGGAAUCUACUUUUUCGUGGGGGAUAACGUAGGGAAACUUACGCUAAUACCGCAUACGACCUACGGGUGAAAGCAGGGGAUCUUCGGACCUUGCGCGAUUGAAUGAGCCGAUGUCGGAUUAGCUAGUUGGCGGGGUAAAGGCCCACCAGGGCGACGAUCCGUAGCUGGUCUGAGAGGAUGAUCAGCCACACUGGAACUGAGACACGGUCCAGACUCCUACGGGAGGCAGCAGUGGGGAAUAUUGGACAAUGGGCGCAAGCCUGAUCCAGCCAUACCGCGUGGGUGAAGAAGGCCUUCGGGUUGUAAAGCCCUUUUGUUGGGAAAGAAAAGCAGCAGGUUAAUACCCCGCUGUUCUGACGGUACCCAAAGAAUAAGCACCGGCUAACUUCGU
RNAcentral lists this ribosomal RNA (491 nucleotides) under uncultured bacterium. RNAcentral's name for it is "partial 16S ribosomal RNA". It matches the Rfam family "Bacterial small subunit ribosomal RNA", at positions 29 to 506 of the family's 1533-position model. The record is from RNAcentral.